AGUGGCGGACGGGUGAGUAACGCGUGGGUAACCUGCCCUGUACAGGGGGAUAACAGCUGGAAACGGCUGCUAAUACCGCAUAAGCGCACAGGACCGCAUGGUCCGGUGUGAAAAACUCCGGUGGUAUAAGAUGGACCCGCGUUGGAUUAGCUAGUUGGCAGGGUAACGGCCUACCAAGGCGACGAUCCAUAGCCGGCCUGAGAGGGUGAACGGCCACAUUGGGACUGAGACACGGCCCAGACUCCUACGGGAGGCAGCAUG
This 261-nucleotide ribosomal RNA is filed under the name uncultured bacterium. RNAcentral's name for it is "partial 16S ribosomal RNA". It matches the Rfam family "Bacterial small subunit ribosomal RNA", at positions 94 to 353 of the family's 1533-position model. The record is from RNAcentral.